UCGUUGUCGUUCAGUCCAUGCCCCGCGCACUCUAAUAAAAAACAUGUAAUUGUAUUUAUUUUCCUUCCAUUUUGUCAGAGGCGCUGAUGUCGGCAUUGUGAUUGGUGGAACAUGACUUUUGACAAAUCCUGCGCUAUCUGUGAAUCUGUGUUCAGUGUUCGUGUUCGUUCGUUCGUUGUCGUUCAGUUAUUUUAUAUGGUCAGUUAUGUGAUGUGUUUGUGUCACCAUAAAAAGCUGAUAUUCAGUCGUGUUUUUUGAUAUUUUGUAAUCGAGUACCUUUUUAAAGGUAAGUUUUUCUGAUUGUAAGGUAGAGAUUUUCUGAUUGUAGGUACUGUUUAUCCAACAGUUUUAAAAUACACAUUUUAUUUCGCGUUUUGUUGUUAGGUCUAAUGGCUCCCAUCAGGUGUUGUGUGCAGUCGGUUGAAAAAUUCAACGAGUAAACAUAUAUUUAAUCCAAAUUAAAUACUCAUAUUUCUAUGUAAAAUGUCACAUUAUUGUAUAAAUAAAUAAUUAAGAAACAAAAGUUGUUUGUGUUGUACCUUUAUUGUCCACUUGAAUAAAAUAUUAAAUAUUGGAAGUACCGUAUGGAGGCUAUCAUGUACCUAGCAUGGAGGCUAGAUUACGCCACUCUUCCUAUCCAAUCAACAACAAGAACGUUUAAAAUUUCACACCUAUCAUGUCGAAGCUACAGACCACUUAUGUGGAGGCCAGAUUUGUAGUACCCUUCCAUUUAACCAGGUGCUGAGAUGGCGCUGAAAUACGUGACAUAUUUUUUAAAGAGUAAGAUCGCAUUCUACCAAAUCACACAACACUUUUUUCUAUGGUUGUUUUCUUGUCACAGAGCUAGCAAAAUGGUAAGAUGAUUUUAUUUUUAUUGUGGAAUUGGAAGAAGGAAAUAAAGAAAAGGUUGAUUAUGGUGAAGAAGUAAAACAAAAUUACUUAUAUGCUAAGUUUAUUGAAGAGUGAAGAUCUUGAACAAGAGAUAACGCAAACAUCUAGGAGAUUUUUGAUGAGAUGCCAAUCCUGCGUUCUUAGAAAAAAGCCAGUCCCAGAAGGAAACAACCAAUAAUAAAGUAGAGAAUUUAUUACACCAAAGAACAAAGCUAAUACUCAACAUAGAUCAACUGAUCCACAUAGAAAAGGAGGAGCAAAGGGCACAACAGAAGCAGGCCAGACAAAAGAAAAUGACAGAAGAGAGACACAGAAAAGAAAUUAAUUUAUUAAAUUUAAAAAUUAAAUUAUGCAAAGGACAAUUAAAUAAAGAAUAAAAAAAUCAAACAUGUA
Long non-coding RNA from Diabrotica virgifera virgifera (western corn rootworm), 1284 nucleotides. RefSeq lists it as uncharacterized. The transcript is spliced from 4 exons. The record is from RefSeq and is a predicted model, not a curated record. Lineage: Eukaryota; Metazoa; Arthropoda; Insecta; Coleoptera; Chrysomelidae.